This 270-nucleotide ribosomal RNA is filed under the name uncultured archaeon. Its description in RNAcentral is "partial 16S ribosomal RNA". It matches the Rfam family "Archaeal small subunit ribosomal RNA", at positions 477 to 747 of the family's 1478-position model. The record is from RNAcentral.
CAGCACCUCAAGUGGUCAGGAUGAUUAUUGGGCCUAGAGCAUCCGUAGCCGGCGCUGUAAGUUUUCGGUUAAAUCUGUACGCUCAACGUACAGGCUGCCGGGAAUACUGCAGCGCUAGGGAGUGGGAGAGGUAGACGGUACUCGGUAGGAAGGGGUAAAAUCCUUUGAACUAUUAAUGACCACCUGUGGCGAAGGCGGUCUACCAGAACACGUCCGACGGUGAGGGAUGAAAGCUGGGGGAGCAAACCGGAUUAGAUACCCGAGUAGUCC